GAUGAACGCUGGCGGCGUGCCUAAUACAUGCAAGUCGAGCGAACAGAUAAGGAGCUUGCUCCUUUGACGUUAGCGGCGGACGGGUGAGUAACACGUGGGUAACCUACCUAUAAGACUGGAAUAACUCCGGGAAACCGGGGCUAAUGCCGGAUAACAUUUAGAACCGCAUGGUUCUAAAGUGAAAGAUGGUUUUGCUAUCACUUAUAGAUGGACCCGCGCCGUAUUAGCUAGUUGGUAAGGUAACGGCUUACCAAGGCAACGAUACGUAGCCGACCUGAGAGGGUGAUCGGCCACACUGGAGCUGAGACACGGUCCAGACUCCUACGGGAGGCAGCAGUAGGGAAUCUUCCGCAAUGGGCGAAAGCCUGACGGAGCAACGCCGCGUGAGUGAUGAAGGUCUUCGGAUCGUAAAACUCUGUUAUUAGGGAAGAACAAAUGUGUAAGUAACUGUGCACGUCUUGACGGUACCUAAUCAGAAAGCCACGGCUAACUACGUG
RNAcentral lists this ribosomal RNA (497 nucleotides) under uncultured bacterium. RNAcentral's name for it is "partial 16S ribosomal RNA". It matches the Rfam family "Bacterial small subunit ribosomal RNA", at positions 28 to 507 of the family's 1533-position model. The record is from RNAcentral.